Molecule: ribosomal RNA, 427 nt
Filed under: uncultured prokaryote
Description: bacterial SSU rRNA
Rfam family: Bacterial small subunit ribosomal RNA
Source: RNAcentral
UAGGGAAUUUUCCGCAAUGGGCGAAAGCUUGACGGAGCAAUCUCGCGUGAGGGAUGACGGCCUAUGGGUUGUAAACCUCUUUUUUCAGGGAGGAAUAAAUGACGUGUACCUGAAGAAUAAGCAUCGGCUAACUCCGUGCCAGCAGCCGCGGUAAGACGGAGGAUGCAAGUGUUAUCCGGAAUCACUGGGCGUAAAGCGUCUGUAGGUGGUUUAAUAAGUCAACUGUUAAAUCUUAAAGCUUAACUUUGAAAUCGCAGUCGAAACUAUUAGACUAGAGUAUAGUAGGGGUAAAGGGAAUUUCCAGUGGAGCGGUGAAAUGCGUAGAGAUUGGAAAGAACACCGAUGGCGAAGGCACUUUACUGGGCUAUUACUAACACUCAGAGACGAAAGCUAGGGUAGCAAAUGGGAUUAGAUACCCCCGUAGUCC